UACGAAGGGGGCUAGCGUUGCUCGGAAUCACUGGGCGUAAAGGGUGCGUAGGCGGCCAUGUAAGUCAGGAGUGACAGUUUGCGGCUCAACCGUAAAAUUGCUUUUGAUACUGCAUGGCUGGAAUCAGGAUGAGGUCAGCGGAAUGUGGCAUGUAGCGGUGAAAUGCAUAGAUAUGCCAUAGAACACCAAUUGCGAAGGCAGCUGGCUAGACCUGUAUUGACGCUGAGGCACGAAAGCGUGGGGAGCGAACAGG
RNAcentral lists this ribosomal RNA (253 nucleotides) under uncultured bacterium. RNAcentral describes it as "partial 16S ribosomal RNA". It matches the Rfam family "Bacterial small subunit ribosomal RNA", at positions 524 to 776 of the family's 1533-position model. The record is from RNAcentral.